RNAcentral lists this ribosomal RNA (549 nucleotides) under uncultured bacterium. RNAcentral describes it as "bacterial SSU rRNA". It matches the Rfam family "Bacterial small subunit ribosomal RNA", at positions 355 to 895 of the family's 1533-position model. The record is from RNAcentral.
UGGGGAAUUUUGGACAAUGGGCGAAAGCCUGAUCCAGCAAUGCCGCGUGCAGGAUGAAGGCCUUCGGGUUGUAAACUGCUUUUGUACGGAACGAAACGGUUCGCCUUAAUACGGUGGGCUAAUGACGGUACCGUAAGAAUAAGCACCGGCUAACUACGUGCCAGCAGCCGCGGUAAUACGUAGGGUGCGAGCGUUAAUCGGAAUUACUGGGCGUAAAGCGUGCGCAGGCGGUUAUAUAAGACAGAUGUGAAAUCCCCGGGCUCAACCUGGGACCUGCAUUUGUGACUGUAUAGCUAGAGUACGGUAGAGGGGGAUGGAAUUCCGCGUGUAGCAGUGAAAUGCGUAGAUAUGCGGAGGAACACCGAUGGCGAAGGCAAUCCCCUGGACCUGUACUGACGCUCAUGCACGAAAGCGUGGGGAGCAGACAGGAUUAGAUACCCUGGUAGUCCACGCCCUAAACGAUGUCGACUAGCCGUUGGGCCCAUUUAAGGGUUUAGUGGCGAAGCUAACGCGUGAAGUUGACCGCCUGGGGAGUACGGCCGCAAGGUG